CAAAGAAGGUAAUAAUCCUGUAGUCGAAAAUGUUGUCUCUCUUGAGUGGAUCCUGAGUACGACGGAGCACGUGAAAUUCCGUCGGAAUCUGGGAGGACCAUCUCCUAAGGCUAAAUACUCUCUAGUGACCGAUAGUGAACCAGUACCGUGAGGGAAAGGUGAAAAGCACCCCGGAAGGGGAGUGAAAUAGAACCUGAAACCGUGUGCUUACAAGUAGUCAGAGCCCGUUAAUGGGUGAUGGCGUGCCUUUUGUAGAAUGAACCGGCGAGUUACGAUUUGAUGCAAGGUUAAGCAGUAAAUGUGGAGCCGUAGCGAAAGCGAGUCUGAAUAGGGCGUUUAGUAUUUGGUCGUAGACCCGAAACCAGGUGAUCUACCCUUGGUCAGGUUGAAGUUCAGGUAACACUGAAUGGAGGACCGAACCGACUUACGUUGAAAAGUGAGCGGAUGAACUGAGGGUAGCGGAGAAAUUCCAAUCGAACCUGGAGAUAGCUGGUUCUCUCCGAAAUAGCUUUAGGGCUAGCCUCAAGUGAUGAUUAUUGGAGGUAGAGCACUGUUUGGACGAGGGGCCCCUCUCGGGUUACCGAAUUCAGACAAACUCCGAAUGCCAAUUAAUUUAACUUGGGAGUCAGAACAUGGGUGAUAAGGUCCGUGUUCGAAAGGGAAACAGCCCAGACCACCAGCUAAGGUCCCAAAAUAUAUGUUAAGUGGAAAAGGAUGUGGCGUUGCCCAGACAACUAGGAUGUUGGCUUAGAAGCAGCCAUCAUUUAAAGAGUGCGUAAUAGCUCACUAGUCGAGUGACACUGCGCCGAAAAUGUACCGGGGCUAAACAUAUUACCGAAGCUGUGGAUUGUCCUUUGGACAAUGGUAGGAGAGCGUUCUAAGGGCGUUGAAGCAUGAUCGUAAGGACAUGUGGAGCGCUUAGAAGUGAGAAUGCCGGUGUGAGUAGCGAAAGACGGGUGAGAAUCCCGUCCACCGAUUGACUAAGGUUUCCAGAGGAAGGCUCGUCCGCUCUGGGUUAGUCGGGUCCUAAGCUGAGGCCGACAGGCGUAGGCGAUGGAUAACAGGUUGAUAUUCCUGUACCACCUAUAAUCGUUUUAAUCGAUGGGGGGACGCAGUAGGAUAGGCGAAGCGUGCGAUUGGAUUGCACGUCUAAGCAGUAAGGCUGAGUAUUAGGCAAAUCCGGUACUCGUUAAGGCUGAGCUGUGAUGGGGAGAAGACAUUGUGUCUUCGAGUCGUUGAUUUCACACUGCCGAGAAAAGCCUCUAGAUAGAAAAUAGGUGCCCGUACCGCAAACCGACACAGGUAGUCAAGAUGAGAAUUCUAAGGUGAGCGAGCGAACUCUCGUUAAGGAACUCGGCAAAAUGACCCCGUAACUUCGGGAGAAGGGGUGCUCUUUAGGGUUAACGCCCAGAAGAGCCGCAGUGAAUAGGCCCAAGCGACUGUUUAUCAAAAACACAGGUCUCUGCUAAACCGUAAGGUGAUGUAUAGGGGCUGACGCCUGCCCGGUGCUGGAAGGUUAAGAGGAGUGGUUAGCUUCUGCGAAGCUACGAAUCGAAGCCCCAGUAAACGGCGGCCGUAACUAUAACGGUCCUAAGGUAGCGAAAUUCCUUGUCGGGUAAGUUCCGACCCGCACGAAAGGCGUAACGAUUUGGGCACUGUCUCAACGAGAGACUCGGUGAAAUCAUAGUACCUGUGAAGAUGCAGGUUACCCGCGACAGGACGGAAAGACCCCGUGGAGCUUUACUGUAGCCUGAUAUUGAAAUUCGGCACAGCUUGUACAGGAUAGGUAGGAGCCUUUGAAACGUGAGCGCUAGCUUACGUGGAGGCGCUGGUGGGAUACUACCCUAGCUGUGUUGGCUUUCUAACCCGCACCACUUAUCGUGGUGGGAGACAGUGUCAGGCGGGCAGUUUGACUGGGGCGGUCGCCUCCUAAAAGGUAACGGAGGCGCUCAAAGGUUCCCUCAGAAUGGUUGGAAAUCAUUCAUAGAGUGUAAAGGCAUAAGGGAGCUUGACUGCGAGACCUACAAGUCGAG
This 2033-nucleotide ribosomal RNA is filed under the name Staphylococcus aureus. RNAcentral describes it as "partial 23S ribosomal RNA". It matches the Rfam family "Bacterial large subunit ribosomal RNA", at positions 356 to 2393 of the family's 2925-position model. The record is from RNAcentral. Lineage: Bacteria; Bacillati; Bacillota; Bacilli; Caryophanales; Staphylococcaceae.